UACGUAGGCAGCAAGCGUUGUUCGGAGUUACUGGGCGUAAAGGGUGUGUAGGCGGUUCUUUAAGUUUGGUGUGAAAUCUCCCGGCUCAACUGGGAGGGUGCGCCGAAUACUGAGGGACUAGAGUGCGGGAGAGGAAAGUGGAAUUCCUGGUGUAGCGGUGAAAUGCGUAGAUAUCAGGAGGAACACCGGUGGUGUAAACGGCUUUCUGGACCGCAACUGACGCUGAGACACGAAAGCGUGGGUAGCAAACAGGAUUAGAUACCCUGGUAGUCCACGCCCUAAACGAUGCAUAUUUGGUGUGGGUCAUUCAGUUGAUCCGUGCCGGAGCUAACGCGUUAAAUAUGCCGCCUGGGGAGUACAGUCGCAAGGCUGAAACUCAAAGGAAUUGACGGGGGCCCGCACAAGCGGUGGAGCAUGUGGUUCAAUUCGACGCAACGCGAAAGAACCUUACCUGGGCUCGAACGGCUGGUUAACGGACUUUGGAAACAGAGCUACUCCGCAAGGAGGUCCAGUCGAGGUGCUGCAUGGCUGUCGUCAGCUCGUGUCGUGAGAUGUUGGGUUAAGUCCCGCAACGAGCGCAACCCUCGUCCUGUGUUGCCAUGGGGUAAAACCCGGAACUCGCAGGAGACCGCCAGCGAUAAGUUGGAGGAAGGUGGGGAUGACGUCAAGUCCUCAUGGCCUUUAUGUCCAGGGCUACACACGUGCUACAAUGGCCGGUACAAUCCGUCGCUAACCUGCGAAGGGGAGCCAAUCGGAAAAAACCGGUCUCAGUUCGGAUUGCAGGCUGCAACUCGCCUGCAUGAAGCUGGAAUCGCUAGUAAUGGCAGAUCAGCACGCUGCCGUGAAUACGUUCCCGGGCCUUGUACACACCGCCCGUCACACCAUGGGAGUUUGUUGCACCAGAAGCAGGUAGCUUAACCUUCGGGAGGGCGCUUGCCACGGUGUGGCCGAUGACUGGGGGG
RNAcentral lists this ribosomal RNA (962 nucleotides) under uncultured Acidobacteriota bacterium. RNAcentral's name for it is "bacterial SSU rRNA". It matches the Rfam family "Bacterial small subunit ribosomal RNA", at positions 524 to 1482 of the family's 1533-position model. The record is from RNAcentral. Lineage: Bacteria; Pseudomonadati; Acidobacteriota.